Molecule: ribosomal RNA, 497 nt
Filed under: uncultured bacterium
Lineage: Bacteria
Description: partial 16S ribosomal RNA
Rfam family: Bacterial small subunit ribosomal RNA
Source: RNAcentral
GAUGAACGCUGGCGGCGUGCCUAAUACAUGCCAGUCGAGCGAACAGACGAGGAGCUUGCUCCUUUGACGUUAGCGGCGGACGGGUGAGUAACACGUGGGUAACCUACCUAUAAGACUGGGAUAACUUCGGGAAACCGGAGCUAAUACCGGAUAAUAUUUCGAACCGCAUGGUUCGAUAGUGAAAGAUGGCUUUGCUAUCACUUAUAGAUGGACCUGCGCCGUAUUAGCUAGUUGGUAAGGUAACGGCUUACCAAGGCAACGAUACGUAGCCGACCUGAGAGGGUGAUCGGCCACACUGGAACUGAGACACGGUCCAGACUCCUACGGGAGGCAGCAGUAGGGAAUCUUCCGCAAUGGGCGAAAGCCUGACGGAGCAACGCCGCGUGAGUGAUGAAGGUCUUCGGAUCGUAAAACUCUGUUAUUAGGGAAGAACAAACGUGUAAGUAACUGUGCACGUCUUGACGGUACCUAAUCAGAAAGCCACGGCUAACUACGUG